Rattus norvegicus (Norway rat) is the source of this 812-nucleotide non-coding RNA. The record is from RefSeq and is a predicted model, not a curated record. NCBI's taxonomy places the organism in Eukaryota, Metazoa, Chordata, Mammalia, Rodentia, Muridae.
CUCAGGGAGUGGAUCUGGGAAUGGAGAGGCGCACGGAAAGAGGCCCCUGGAAAGGCUCACAUGCGUGCGCAUAUUCCAGGAAAGAAGUACAAACCUGCCCCCGUUGCCAGGGCAACCAACUCAGCGCCAGCAACGGCUUUAAUUGGAAGUAGCUUAUUUGGCUGAAGCCCCAGGAAUAAUCAACGGGAGAUUAGUAACAUUAAAAACCAGCAGGAGCCAGGAAACAUCUCGGAGAGGAUGGUGACAGAUAGGACAGUCCCCCUGGAAACCACCACUGAUAACAACAGCCAGCCGCUGUUAAGCUUACCCAGCGACCCCAGCUUCUUCUGGCCUGGGCAAAACUAAGCGUCCGCACUGUACUAGAUGGCAGGGAAGGUACCCAGGCCUCCGCUGCACCCCAGAACUCCACCGCCACCAAGGUGCCCAGAAGAGUGCUGCUGAUGCGAUGCUGACUUGGGCCAGGACUCCCAGAGGCUGAUUCCCUCGAGAUGUUAUUGCUACACAGAGUUCCAGUUCAUUGGGACAAUUGAGACAAUCCCAGAGUUGGUGCUGGUGGGUUUUAAUUACUGCUCCCAGAGAGACUCUACCCCAUUAAGAGUCUAGGCUUCAGGUUGCUGCGAGCCUGGUAUCAAGUCCGCUGCAAGGGGUGCCUCCCAGCCAUGAGGAAGGGAGCCACCUCGACGGGUGGGCCUCCAGAAGGAUAUUUUUACCCAUGUGUUUAUUCGCUGAUCAAUCUAAAUUACUUUUUUAAGGCAACUGGCAUUUACUCAACUGUCACCUUAUUAAAAUCUCGCCAUCCUGAGCGUUGUGAA